RNAcentral lists this ribosomal RNA (468 nucleotides) under uncultured bacterium. RNAcentral's name for it is "partial 16S ribosomal RNA". It matches the Rfam family "Bacterial small subunit ribosomal RNA", at positions 28 to 507 of the family's 1533-position model. The record is from RNAcentral.
GACGAACGCUGGCGGCGUGCCUAACACAUGCAAGUCGAACGGAAAGGCCCUGAUUUUGUGGGGUUCUCGAGUGGCGAACGGGUGAGUAACACGUGUGUAACCUGCCCCUGACUGUGGGAUAACAUCAUGAAACAGCGGCUAAUACCGGAUAGGAGCUCCUGCUGCAUAGUGGGGGUUGGAAAGAUUCGGCGGUUGGGGAUGUACUCGCGGCUUAUGAGCUUGUUGGUGGGGUAGUGGUUUACCCAGUCUCUGACGGCUAGGCGGCACGAGAGGGUGACCGGGGACAAGAGGCCUGAGGUAGGGCCCAGUCGGCAACGUUAGGCAAUGGGCGGGAGUCUUGCGCAAUGGGCGGAAGCGUGAUACGGAGGCGUCGCGUGCGUAAUGCCGGCUUACGGGUGAUGAACAGCUUUCGCCUGAGACGAAGCGUGAGUGACGGUAAUGGGUAAAGAAGCACCGGCUAACUACGUG